Molecule: ribosomal RNA, 239 nt
Filed under: uncultured Lactobacillus sp.
Lineage: Bacteria; Bacillati; Bacillota; Bacilli; Lactobacillales; Lactobacillaceae
Description: partial 16S ribosomal RNA
Rfam family: Bacterial small subunit ribosomal RNA
Source: RNAcentral
CCGUAGCCCAAGAGAUCGGGAUAACACCUGGAAACAGAUGCUAAUACCGGAUAACAACAGAUGAUGCCUAUCAACUGUUUAAAAGAUGGUUCUGCUAUCACUCUUGGAUGGACCUGCGGUGCAUUAGCUAGUUGGUAGGGUAACGGCCUACCAAGGCGAUGAUGCAUAGCCGAGUUGAGAGACUGAUCGGCCACAUUGGGACUGAGACACGGCCCAAACUCCUACGGGAGGCAGCAGGC